GAGGUGUUAGUAAAACCAUUACAUAGCCUUGUCAAGACUAAAUUACAAGUGAAAACCUUGUACACCUCA
Molecule: transfer RNA, 69 nt
Filed under: Podoces hendersoni (Mongolian ground-jay)
Lineage: Eukaryota; Metazoa; Chordata; Aves; Passeriformes; Corvidae
Description: tRNA-Asp
Source: RNAcentral